CCUACGGGAGGCAGCAGUAGGGAAUAUUGCUCAAUGGGGGAAACCCUGAAGCAGCAACGCCGCGUGGACGAUGAAGGUUUUGGGAUGGUAAACUCCUUUUGUUAGAGAAGAUAAUGACGGUAUCUAACGAAUAAGCACCGGCUAACUCCGUGCCAGCAGCCGCGGUAAUACGGAGGGUGCAAGCGUUACUCGGAAUCACUGGGCGUAAAGAGCUCGUAGGCGGGAUAGCAAGUCAGAUGUGAAAGCCUAUGGCUUAACCAUAGAACUGCAUUUGAUACUUGUAUUCUAGAGUAUGGGAGAGGUAGGUGGAAUUCUUGGUGUAGGGGUAAAAUCCGUAGAGAUCAAGAGGAAUACUCAUUGCGAAGGCGAUCUGCUAGAACAUAAUUGACGCUGAUGCGCGAAAGCGUGGGGAGCAAACAGGAUUAGAUACCCGGGUAGUC
Molecule: ribosomal RNA, 440 nt
Filed under: uncultured bacterium
Lineage: Bacteria
Description: partial 16S ribosomal RNA
Rfam family: Bacterial small subunit ribosomal RNA
Source: RNAcentral